GGCCUUGAAUGUCGAGUACUUUCAGAGAUGGAUACUGGUGCCUUCGGGAACUCGAACACAGGUGCUGCAUGGCUGUCGUCAGCUCGUGUCGGGAGAUGUUGGGUUAAGUCCCGCAACGAGCGCAACCCUUGUCCUUAGUUGCCAGCACGUAAUGGUGGGAACUCUAAGGAGACCGCCGGUGACAAACCGGAGGAAGGUGGGGAUGACGUCAAGUCAUCAUGGCCCUUACGGCCAGGGCUACACACGUACUACAAUGGUAGGGACAGAGGGCUGCAAGCCGGCGACGGUAAGCCAAUCCCAGAAACCCUAUCUCAGUCCGGAUUGGAGUCUGCAACUCGACUCCGUGAAGUCGGAAUCGCUAGUAAUCGCAGAUAAGCAUUGCUGCGGUGAAUACGUUCCCGGGUCUUGUACACACCG
RNAcentral lists this ribosomal RNA (417 nucleotides) under Stenotrophomonas sp. Vi50. RNAcentral describes it as "bacterial SSU rRNA". It matches the Rfam family "Bacterial small subunit ribosomal RNA", at positions 977 to 1392 of the family's 1533-position model. The record is from RNAcentral. Lineage: Bacteria; Pseudomonadati; Pseudomonadota; Gammaproteobacteria; Lysobacterales; Lysobacteraceae.